This 484-nucleotide ribosomal RNA is filed under the name uncultured bacterium. Its description in RNAcentral is "partial 16S ribosomal RNA". It matches the Rfam family "Bacterial small subunit ribosomal RNA", at positions 29 to 507 of the family's 1533-position model. The record is from RNAcentral.
AUUGAACGCUGGCGGCAGGCCUAACACAUGCAAGUCGAGCGGAUGAAGGGAGCUUGCUCCUGGAUUCAGCGUCGGACGGGUGAGUAAUGCCUAGGAAUCUGCCUGGUAGUGGGGGAUAACGUCCGGAAACGGGCGCUACUACCGCCUACGUCCUGAGGGAGCUAGUUGGGGAUCUUCGGACCUCACGCUAUCAGAUGAGCCUAGGGCGGAUUAGCUAGUUGGUGGGGUAAAGGCCUACCAAGGCGACGAUCCGUAACUGGUCGGGAAGGAUGAUAAGUCACAUUGGAAGUGGGACACGGACAAGAGGACUGCGGGAGGCAGCAGUGGGGAAUAGUGGGCAAUGGGCGAAAGUAUGAACCAGCCAUGCGGCGUGUGUGAAGAAGGUCUUCGGAUUGGAAAGAACUUUAAGGUGGGAGGAAGGGCAGUAAGUUAAUACCUUGCGGGUUUGACGUUAAUAGCAGAAGAAGCACCGGCUAACUACGUG